Long non-coding RNA from Gadus morhua (Atlantic cod), 277 nucleotides. RefSeq lists it as uncharacterized. The transcript has 3 exons. The record is from RefSeq and is a predicted model, not a curated record. Lineage: Eukaryota; Metazoa; Chordata; Actinopteri; Gadiformes; Gadidae.
CAUGCUCUCUAUCAGGAGGUGGUGGUGUGGACAGCUGUUGGAGACCUUUAUGCUUGAAAGCCCUGCAGAACUAGCUGGCUCCUUCUCACCCUCUCCAUCUCCCCAUCUCAGUCACACCUUCCAAUCACUAAGCAGUGAAAGCCCUGCAGGACUAGCUGGCACACCAAGCUCACCCUCUCCAUCUCCCCAUCUCAGCCACACGCUCCAAUCUGGCACAACAGAGGACAGGCCAUUCUUACCACCCGAAGUCCUUCAGCAAAUUGUACAAGAGACGCUG